AUAGUACUCCCUCCAUUCCGAAUUACUUGUCUUGAAUUUGUCUAGAUACAUAUGUAUCUAGACUCAUUUUAGUGCUAGAUACAUCCUUAUCUAGACAAAUCUAAGACAAGUAAUUUGGAACGGAGGGAGUAGUAC
Non-coding RNA from Triticum aestivum (bread wheat), 135 nucleotides. Lineage: Eukaryota; Viridiplantae; Streptophyta; Magnoliopsida; Poales; Poaceae. The record is from Rfam.